GAAUUGACGGGGGCCCCCACAAGCGGUGGAGCAUGUGGUUUAAUUCGAAGCAACGCGAAGAACCUUACCAGGUCUUGACAUCUAGUGCCAUUUGUAGAGAUACAAAGUUCCCCUGGGGGACGCUAAGACAGGUGGUGCAUGGCUGUGAUCAGCUCGAUGUCGUGAGAUUUUGGGUUAAGUCCCGCAACGAGCGCAACCCUUGUUAUUAGUUGCCAGCAUUAAGUUGGGCACUCUAAUGAGACAGCCGGGGACAAACCGGAGGAAGGUGGGGAUGACGUCAAGUCAUCAUGCCCCUUAUCAUCUGGGCUACACAAAGCCUACAAUGGGCAGUACAACGAGAAGCGAGCCUGCGAAGGCAAGAGGAUCUCUGAAAGCUGUUCUCAGUUAGGAGAUCAGUCUGCAACUUUUCUGCUCGAAGCUGGAAUCGCUUGUAAUCGCGGAUUACCACGCCACGGGGCAGGUGUUCCCGGGCUUUGUCCACCCUCCCCGUCUCACCUUGGGAGUGUCCAAUCCCCAAAACCGGUGUCAGAACCUUCGGGAAGGAGCCCUUUAAGGCAGGGCAGA
RNAcentral lists this ribosomal RNA (564 nucleotides) under uncultured bacterium. RNAcentral's name for it is "bacterial SSU rRNA". It matches the Rfam family "Bacterial small subunit ribosomal RNA", at positions 907 to 1471 of the family's 1533-position model. The record is from RNAcentral.